RNAcentral lists this ribosomal RNA (441 nucleotides) under uncultured bacterium. RNAcentral describes it as "partial 16S ribosomal RNA". It matches the Rfam family "Bacterial small subunit ribosomal RNA", at positions 338 to 795 of the family's 1533-position model. The record is from RNAcentral.
CCUACGGGAGGCCGCAGUGGGGGAUAUUGCACAAUGGGGGGAACCCUGAUGCAGCGACGCCGCGUGGGUGAAGGAGCGUUUCGGCGCGUAAAGCCCUAUCGGCAGGGAAGAAGGAGGACGGUACCUGACUAAGUAGCCCCGGCUCAAUACGUGCCAGCAGCCGCGGUAAUACGGAGGGGGCAAGCGUUAUCCGGUUUUACUGGGGGUAAAGGGGGCGCAGACGGCAGGGCAAGCCAGGAGGGAAAGCCCGGGGCCCAACCCCGGGACUGCUCUUGGGACUGCGCGGCGGGAGUGCAGGAGGGGCAGGCGGAAUUCCUGGUGUAGCGGUGAAAUGCGUAGAUAUCAGGAGGAACACCGGUGGCGAAGGCGGCCUGCUGGACUGCGACUGACGUUGAGGCCCGAAAGCGUGGGGAGCAAACAGGAUUAGAUACCCGAGUAGUC